AUUGAACGCUGGCGGCAGGCUUGACACAUGCAAGUCGAGCGGGGGAAGGUAGCUUGCUACUGGACCUAGCGGCGGACGGGUGAGUAAUGCUUAGGAAUCUGCCUAUUAGUGGGGGACAACAUCUCGAAAGGGAUGCUAAUACCGCAUACGUCCUACGGGAGAAAGCAGGGGAUCUUCGGACCUUGCGCUAAUAGAUGAGCCUAAGUCGGAUUAGCUAGUUGGUGGGGUAAAGGCCUACCGAGGCGACGAUCUGUAGCGGGUCUGAGAGGAUGAUCCGCCACACUGGGACUGAGACACGGCCCAGACUCCUACGGGAGGCAGCAGUGGGGAAUAUUGGACAAUGGGGGGAACCCUGAUCCAGCCAUGCCGCGUGUGUGAAGAAGGCCUUAUGGUUGUAAAGCACUUUAAGCGAGGAGGAGGCUACUCUAGUUAGUACCUAGGGAUAGUGGACGUUACUCGCAGAAUAAGCACCGGCUAACUCUGUGCCAGCAGCCGCAGUAA
RNAcentral lists this ribosomal RNA (501 nucleotides) under uncultured bacterium. RNAcentral describes it as "partial 16S ribosomal RNA". It matches the Rfam family "Bacterial small subunit ribosomal RNA", at positions 30 to 523 of the family's 1533-position model. The record is from RNAcentral.